Molecule: ribosomal RNA, 390 nt
Filed under: uncultured bacterium
Lineage: Bacteria
Description: partial 16S ribosomal RNA
Rfam family: Bacterial small subunit ribosomal RNA
Source: RNAcentral
AUACGGAGGAUCCGAGCGUUAUCCGGAUUUAUUGGGUUUAAAGGGUGCGCAGGCGGCCAUUUAAGUCAGCGGUUAAAUCGUGGGGCUCAACCCCAUUCUGCCGUUGAUACUGGGUGGCUUGAUUGCGGUCGAGGUUGGCGGAAUUCGUUGUGUAGCGGUGAAAUGCAUAGAUAUGACGAAGAACACCGAUUGCGUAGGCAGCUGACCAGACCGCAAAUGACGCUCAUGCACGAAAGUGCGGGGAUCGAACAGGAUUAGAUACCCUGGUAGUCCGCACAGUAAACGAUGAAUACUUGUUUUCGGCGAUAUAAUGUCGGAGGCAAAGCGAAAGCGAUAAGUAUUCCACCUGGGAGUACGCCGGCAACGGUGAAACUCAAAGGAAUUGACGGG